RNAcentral lists this ribosomal RNA (685 nucleotides) under uncultured bacterium. Its description in RNAcentral is "bacterial SSU rRNA". It matches the Rfam family "Bacterial small subunit ribosomal RNA", at positions 301 to 980 of the family's 1533-position model. The record is from RNAcentral.
UGAUCAGCCACACUGGAACUGAGACACGGUCCAGACUCCUACGGGAGGCAGCAGUGGGGAAUAUUGGACAAUGGGGGCAACCCUGAUCCAGCCAUGCCGCGUGUGUGAAGAAGGCCUUCGGGUUGUAAAGCACUUUUGUUGGGGAAGAAACCGGCCGGGUUAAUACCCUGGUUGAAUGACGGUACCCAAAGAAUAAGCACCGGCUAACUUCGUGCCAGCAGCCGCGGUAAUACGAAGGGUGCAAGCGUUACUCGGAAUUACUGGGCGUAAAGCGUGCGUAGGCGGCUUGUUAAGUCUGCUGUGAAAGCCCUGGGCUCAACCUGGGAACUGCAGUGGAUACUGGCGAGCUAGAGUGUGUCAGAGGAUGGUGGAAUUCCCGGUGUAGCGGUGAAAUGCGUAGAGAUCGGGAGGAACACCAGUGGCGAAGGCGGCCAUCUGGGACAACACUGACGCUGAGGCACGAAAGCGUGGGGAGCAAACAGGAUUAGAUACCCUGGUAGUCCACGCCCUAAACGAUGCGAACUGGACGUUGGGCACACUUAGGUGCUCAGUGUCGAAGCUAACGCGUUAAGUUCGCCGCCUGGGGAGUACGGUCGCAAGACUGAAACUCAAAGGAAUUGACGGGGGCCCGCACAGCGGUGGAGUAUGUGGUUUAAUUCGAUGCAACGCGAGACCUUACCUGGCC